Molecule: non-coding RNA, 393 nt
Organism: Thamnophis sirtalis
Lineage: Eukaryota; Metazoa; Chordata; Lepidosauria; Squamata; Natricidae
Source: the annotation of a RefSeq genome assembly
AUGAUCCCAUGGCUGAAUUGGGUGCCCUUAUUAGUGCUACUUCAAGAAUAUUUCAUUGAACCACUUUUGCUUUUAGGAGUCCAAUCUCAAGUCCAGCUGCUGGAGUCUGGAGGGGAUGUGAGAAGACCUGGAGAGUCCCUCCGUCUCUCCUGCCAAGCCUCCGGAUUCACCUUCAGCAGCUCUGACAUGAGCUGGAUGAGACAGGCUCCAGGGAAAGGACUGGAAUGGGUAGCAGGCAUAAGUAGAGGAUCAUCUUAUACUUUCUACUCUGACAAAGUCAAGGGACGCUUCACCAUCUCCAGGGAUGAUUCUCUCAGCCAGCUGUAUCUGCAAAUGAACAGCCUCAAAUGGGAGGAUUCUGCUGUUUAUUACUGUACGAGAAACACACAGUGA